UACUGGGGGAGCGAGCGUUGUUCGGAAUCACUGGGCGUAAAGCGUGCGCAGGCGGAUUGGUAAGUUAGAAGUGAAAUCCCAGGGCUCAACCCUGGAACUGCUUUUAAAACUGCCUUUCUAGAGUAUGGUAGAGGUUGGGAGAAUUCCUAGUGUAGAGGUGAAAUUCGUAGAUAUUAGGAGGAAUACCAGUGGCGUAGGCGCCCAACUGGACCAUUACUGACGCUCAGGCACGAAAGCGUGGGGAGCAAAC
RNAcentral lists this ribosomal RNA (250 nucleotides) under uncultured bacterium. Its description in RNAcentral is "partial 16S ribosomal RNA". It matches the Rfam family "Bacterial small subunit ribosomal RNA", at positions 524 to 773 of the family's 1533-position model. The record is from RNAcentral.